GCAAAGUGCCUGCCUCCCGCGGCACGCACAGGAAGCAGGGACCCGGCUCUGAUGAAACGGCUCAACGUGGAGGCUUGUUCUUCAGCGUCAAAGUGAGCCGUCCAAGAAAAGGCUCUCCUGUCUGGCUCGGGAAGGUCUCUUGGAACGGCCGCCAGAUCUGUCAUGGGAAACCGAGACAAACGCGGGCCUUGGCUUUGGGUGCUACUGAUUGGGCCAGGCCCACCCAGGUUAUCGAGGGUGAUGUCCUCUGCUGAGAGCCAGCUCAUUGCAGCUAGUGACCACGUCUGCUGAAUUUCUUCACAGCAGCAUUUGGACUCGUGUUGGGUUGAAUCACUGGGGAUUAUAGCUUAGGCAGGCGGCCUCGACCCACUGGCCAUCACAGGAACGACAUCUCUCACGAGGUUGGAGAAGGUGGUGAGCAUUUUGGGAAAUUAAGUACGGGAAAAUGACUCGCAGGAGGGAUUCCUGUCAUCUCCAAGAGUACCGGAUGUGUCAUGGUUGUCUCACUACAUUGACACCACCAGCCACAAGCCUGCACCUACACACCGGCUCUGCCCUCCACCCUGCGUGGCUGUGUCAUUCUGAACAGCCCAGCUCUGGGAGGGAGAUCCCAUCUCCUUCCCACAUCCCCGAUGAGGAAGCACAGCCUGCUGUGUGCACACAUCGCUGGGCAUGGAGAGCUGCCCAAUCUCUAGUGCUGGAAAGUGCCCGCGGCCCCACAUGGCAUCUCUCGCCCACGGCGUUUGGGAGGAACCCAAAAGUGAGGAUGAAGCCCGUCCUUAAUCCUCUGGGGAAGUCUGUCUCGGCCUCUUUGCUGUGGGAGACAACCUCCCCACUUUUGCUCUGGGAGCCAGGUCUUCUCCGGCGAUGGAGUGCUGGCUGCCAAAACAGCGCACUCCACGGACUGCCUUCUGGAUCUAACAGCUUGCUCUUGCUCGGUGGGACCACCUCAGGCAUCCGCUGGCACCUGCCCAGGUGA
Vulpes vulpes (red fox) is the source of this 979-nucleotide long non-coding RNA. The record is from Ensembl. Lineage: Eukaryota; Metazoa; Chordata; Mammalia; Carnivora; Canidae.